CGUCUCCCCGCCUACGGCUUUUGGGGGAUGAAACAGGAGCGCCAAGUGCUGAGGAGCAGAGGGGACUCCGGUGGAAGUUCCCCUGGAUUUGCGUUCGAGCUAAGACCCCUAAAGUGAAACAUCCAUACCCAACAGAGGUUACAUUGCCCAAAACACCAAGACCAGAGAGAUCGACACAUCUGUACAUACAACGGUGCGUGCAUUGGAGAACGGAGAGAAGGGGAACAGCAGAGGCAGAGCCCAGGACCCGGGACCCCCGGCAGCAGCGGCUGAGCCAGCCGCCCCCAGCCCCGGAGAACUCCGGCCAGCCAGCCGCGGCGGCACCUGUGGCCGCGGGAAGCGGAGCGGCAGCGGAGGCGGAGCCGGGUGAUCCCGGAGCGGGUCGCAGAGCGGAGGCGCUCACAGGACUCCGACGUCCCAACCCCAGCGGCGCCCGCAGCCCCGGGGCAACAGGCAACCGCUGAGGCAGUGCCCCGCGGACCUGCUCCUUCCACCCGCUCGUUCCCCUUCUCAACGCCACCACCCCACCCGCACCUCGGCAGAGCUCCUGACCCAGGUGAUCCCUGACACAGUGGGGGCAUCAGCUAUCCCUGUGUUUCCUGGCAGCUGCGAAGCCAGCGACAGCGAGGCAUCAAUGACCCCCAGGGGUGUAGGCAGCGACACCCUGAAUAGAGGCUCUGGAGGGUGGAACAUGCAGAUCCUCAAACGUAGCCAGAGGCAGCUCAGGUAGAAGAAACCAAAAAACUGGCGCUAUAGCGCCACCUACUGAAAAGCAAAAGAAAGGCCUCUAAUCUCCAACUGAUGGAAAAGUUUGAAUCAAAACAAACCAACCCAUGCCUAAAUAAGAAAAGUGUUUGCCAUGACAAAUGCUCCGGCAGAGGAAUAACUCAGCAAGCACCACAAACAACUACGGUAACGUGGCAUCGCAAAAAGAAAAUAACGGUUCUUCGGAAACCAAACAUAAAUUCAUGGAAGAUUGUGCUCUAACCCAUGAAGAAUUCGAAAUAGCCGUCAUGAAGAAACAGUGAGCUACCAGAAAACUCAGAAAGGCGGCUCACUGAGUCAGGAUAAAAUCAAUGAACAGAAGACAAUUCAUCUUAUAUUCCCUUCCCUUUCCAAAAUCCUCCCCUAACCAAUUAGUUGCUGAAAGAUGCAAGCUCAUAUCAGCAACGUCUCAUUUUCCAUCCGUUUUCUAUCUCCACCAUUCCUACCCUAGUUCAGGUCUUUUGCAAUAACAUCUCGCAUGUUUCCAUCUCUAAUAUCUGGCAUCUCUAAUGGAUCUUUUAAGUUCUACCAAGUUAUCUGCAGAAAAAACACUCCUGAUUAUAUCUCUUACCUUUUUUAAUGUUUGCAGGCCUAUUGCUACAGAAAAAAUAAAUACGAAACCUUUUGUGUAUAA
Molecule: non-coding RNA, 1399 nt
Organism: Equus caballus (horse)
Lineage: Eukaryota; Metazoa; Chordata; Mammalia; Perissodactyla; Equidae
Source: RefSeq, a predicted model, not a curated record